CCAAUAGCGUAUAUUAAAGUUGUUGCAGUUAAAAAGCUCGUAGUUGAAUUUCGGGGUUAGUAGGUUGGUCAUGCCUCUGGUAUGUACUGGUCUCACUGAUUCCUCCUUCCUGAUGAGCCGUAAUGCCAUUAAUUUGGUGUUGCGGGGAAUUUGGACUGUUACUUUGAAAAAAUUAGAGUGUUUAAAGCAAGCUAACGCUUGAAUACAUUAGCAUGGAAUAAUGAAAUAGGACGUUCGAUCCUAUUUUGUUGGUUUCUAGGAUUGACGUAAUGAUUAAUAGGGAUAGUUGGGGGCAUUAGUAUUCAAUUGUCAGAGGUGAAAUUCUUGGAUUUAUUGAAGACUGACUACUGCGAAAGCAUUUGCCAAGGAUGUUUUCAUUAAUCAAGAACGAAAGUUAGGGGAUCGAAGACGAUCAGAUACCGUCGUAGUCUUAACCAUAAACUAUGCCGACUAGGGAUCGGAUGAUGUUAAUUUUUUAAUGACUCAUUCGGCGCCUUACG
Molecule: ribosomal RNA, 500 nt
Filed under: uncultured Glomeromycotina
Lineage: Eukaryota; Fungi; Glomeromycota
Description: partial small subunit ribosomal RNA
Rfam family: Eukaryotic small subunit ribosomal RNA
Source: RNAcentral